GAUGAACGCUGGCGGCGUGCCUAAUACAUGCAAGUCGAGCGAACAGAUGAGGAGCUUGCUCCUCUGACGUUAGCGGCGGACGGGUGAGUAACACGUGGAUAACCUACCUAUAAGACUGGGAUAACUUCGGGAAACCGGAGCUAAUACCGGAUAAUAUAUUGAACCGCAUGGUUCAAUAGUGAAAGACGGUUUUGCUGUCACUUAUAGAUGGAUCCGCGCCGCAUUAGCUAGUUGGUAAGGUAACGGCUUACCAAGGCAACGAUGCGUAGCCGACCUGAGAGGGUGAUCGGCCACACUGGAACUGAGACACGGUCCAGACUCCUACGGGAGGCAGCAGUAGGGAAUCUUCCGCAAUGGGCGAAAGCCUGACGGAGCAACGCCGCGUGAGUGAUGAAGGUCUGCGGAUCGUAAAACUCUGUUAUUAGGGAAGAACAAAUGUGUAAGUAACUAUGCACGUCUUGACGGUACCUAAGCAGAAAGCCACGGCUAACUACGU
RNAcentral lists this ribosomal RNA (496 nucleotides) under uncultured bacterium. RNAcentral's name for it is "partial 16S ribosomal RNA". It matches the Rfam family "Bacterial small subunit ribosomal RNA", at positions 28 to 506 of the family's 1533-position model. The record is from RNAcentral.